This 172-nucleotide ribosomal RNA is filed under the name uncultured bacterium. Its description in RNAcentral is "partial 16S ribosomal RNA". It matches the Rfam family "Bacterial small subunit ribosomal RNA", at positions 338 to 524 of the family's 1533-position model. The record is from RNAcentral.
CCUACGGGAGGCAGCAGUAGGGAAUAUUGCACAAUGGAGGAAACUCUGAUGCAGCGACGCCGCGUGAGUGAUGAAGGCCUUCGGGUCGUAAAGCUCUGUCGCAGGGGAAUAACACAAUGAAGGUACCCUGUAAGAAAGGAUCGGCUAACUUCGUGCCAGCAGCCGCGGUAAU